UACGGAGGGUGCAAGCGUUGUCCGGAUUUAUUGGGUUUAAAGGGUGCGUAGGCGGCCCUGUAAGUCAGUGGUGAAAUACUGCAGCUUAACUGUAGCAUUGCCAUUGAUACUGUAGGGCUUGAGUACAGAUGAGGUAGGCGGAAUUGAUGGUGUAGCGGUGAAAUGCAUAGAUACCAUCAAGAACACCGAUUGCGAAGGCAGCUU
This 204-nucleotide ribosomal RNA is filed under the name uncultured bacterium. RNAcentral describes it as "partial 16S ribosomal RNA". It matches the Rfam family "Bacterial small subunit ribosomal RNA", at positions 524 to 727 of the family's 1533-position model. The record is from RNAcentral.